GACGAACGCUGGCGGCGUGCUUAACACAUGCAAGUCGAACGGGAAGGCCCCUUCGGGGGUCCUCGAGUGGCGAACAGGUGAGUAACACGUGAGUAACCUGCCCUUGACUUCGGGAUAACUUCAGGAAACUGGGGCUAAUACCGGAUAGGAAUCCUUGCUGCAUGGUGGGGGUUGGAAAGCUUCGGCGGUUUUGGAUGGACUCGCGGCUUAUCAGCUUGUUGGUGGGGUAGUGGCUUACCAAGGCUUUGACGGGUAGCCGGCCUGAGAGGGCGACCGGCCACAUUGGGACUGAGAUACGGCCCAGACUCCUACGGGAGGCAGCAGUGGGGAAUAUUGCACAAUGGGCGGAAGCCUGAUGCAGCAACGCCGCGUGCGGGAUGACGGCCUUCGGGUUGUAAACCGCUUUCAGCAGGGGCGAAGCUUGUGGUGACGGUACCUGCAGAAGAAGCACCGGCUAACUACGUG
This 465-nucleotide ribosomal RNA is filed under the name uncultured bacterium. Its description in RNAcentral is "partial 16S ribosomal RNA". It matches the Rfam family "Bacterial small subunit ribosomal RNA", at positions 28 to 507 of the family's 1533-position model. The record is from RNAcentral.